RNAcentral lists this ribosomal RNA (207 nucleotides) under uncultured bacterium. Its description in RNAcentral is "partial 16S ribosomal RNA". It matches the Rfam family "Bacterial small subunit ribosomal RNA", at positions 568 to 774 of the family's 1533-position model. The record is from RNAcentral.
CGCGUAGGCGGUAUUUUAAGUGAGGCGUGAAAGCCCCGGGCUUAACCCGGGAGGUGCGUUUCAUACUGGAAUGCUAGAGUGCGAGAGAGGAAAGUGGAAUUCCUAGUGUAGAGGUGAAAUUCGUAGAUAUUAGGAAGAACACCAGAGGCAAAGGCGGCUUUCUGGCUCGCAACUGACGCUGAGGCGCGAAAGCGUGGGGAGCAAACA